RNAcentral lists this long non-coding RNA (305 nucleotides) under Elaeis guineensis (African oil palm). RNAcentral's name for it is "long non-coding RNA (EGUI_LNC050439)". Lineage: Eukaryota; Viridiplantae; Streptophyta; Magnoliopsida; Arecales; Arecaceae. The record is from RNAcentral.
GCUUUUGAUUGACGACUCAUGAUUUAUUAUUGCUUGAACAAAGCUUUAAAGUUCAUGCUUGGAACAAGUUGGAACUCAAGUCCAGCAAGGAACAGAUCUAUUUUUUAAAUAGGCUUGGCUCGAGAUUAGGCUCAGCUCGAGCUCAACUUGUUAGAAAACAAUUAGCUUGAUCUGCAUUUCAGGUUGACCAAGCUUCGCUCCAUUAAACCUCUCCAACAGAAUGAUUACUUGUGACAUUGGAAACACAAAUUACAUAAAGUCCAACAUGUGAUUCAGCUUUAACUAAUUGCGUUCCAUGCUUGUAG